UUUUGAAACAGGAAGAAGCAUCGAUAAAAAGAUAAUUUGUAUUGUUUGCCAACCGCUAAAAAAGAAGCUGUUGUUUGCCGUGUCGAUAAGUAAAAAAAAAUAUCUUUGGUCUUUACCAACACUUAAAACGUUGACAACUUUAAGAAUGUGUCCGUCGCUUGUGUGCAUGUGCAUAAACAACAUACAAGCCUGAUGCAGAAGCAGUUCUCCCGGGUUAAGGGGUCCCUGCUGCAGUUUCACCAGUAAAGAAAAUUACUUGUUACAGUUCACUUGAAGGACCACAUUAGCCAUGCAGUGGUGCAUGGAGGAGCGCCAAGAGGACAUAAAGUGGAAGUUUGUAAGGGGUAUUGGUCCAGGGUGGUACAGAGUCAUCGUGGGUUAUUCUGUGGGGAGGUGACAGGGCCUGCCUUUCUCCAGAUGGACAGUAAAAAUCAACAGAAUGCCAUCAAAGACUACCUGGAGGGAGAAUCGGAGGAUAUAUUGAAGCAAGGAAUCUCUCUGUGUAGUCUGUGUAUGUAUGUGUGUGUACUGCAUGUCAAGAACUGUUUAUCUGAUCAUUCAGCUGUUCAGACUUUAUAAUAUUUGGAGCAUUUCUUUUGUUAAACACAACCAGUCAA
This is a long non-coding RNA of Cyprinus carpio carpio, 617 nucleotides long. Lineage: Eukaryota; Metazoa; Chordata; Actinopteri; Cypriniformes; Cyprinidae. The record is from Ensembl.